This 464-nucleotide ribosomal RNA is filed under the name uncultured bacterium. Its description in RNAcentral is "partial 16S ribosomal RNA". It matches the Rfam family "Bacterial small subunit ribosomal RNA", at positions 339 to 795 of the family's 1533-position model. The record is from RNAcentral.
CUACGGGGCGCACCAGUGGGGAAUUUUGGACAAUGGGGGAAACCCUGAUCCAGCCAUGCCGCGUGCGGGAUGAAGGCCUUCGGGUUGUAAACCGCUUUCAGACGGAAAGAAAUUGCCACUCCUAAUACGGGUGGUAGAUGACGGUACCGUCAGAAGAAGCACCGGCUAACUACGUGCCAGCAGCCGCGGUAAUACGUAGGGUGCGAGCGUUAAUCGGAAUUACUGGGCGUAAAGCGUGCGCAGGCGGUUUCUUAAGCAAGAUGUGAAAUCCCCGGGCUUAACCUGGGAACUGCAUUUUGAACUGGGAGACUAGAGUGUGUCAGAGGGGGGUGGAAUUCCGCGUGUAGCAGUGAAAUGCGUAGAUAUGCGGAGGAACACCGAUGGCGAAGGCAGCCCCCUGGGAUAACACUGACGCUCAUGUACGAAAGCGUGGGGAGCAAACAGGAUUAGAUACCCUCGUAGUC